UACGAAGGGGGCUAGCGUUGUUCGGAAUUACUGGGCGUAAAGGGCGCGUAGGCGGUGUGUCAAGUCAGGCGUGAAAGCCCCGGGCUCAACCUGGGAACCGCACUUGAGACUGGCACGCUCGAGUUCGGGAGAGGAUGGUGGAAUUCCCAGUGUAGAGGUGAAAUUCGUAGAUAUUCGCAAGAACACCGGUGGCGAAGGCGGCCAACUGGACCAUUACUGACGCUGAGGCGCGAAAGCGUGGGGAGCAAACAGG
This 253-nucleotide ribosomal RNA is filed under the name uncultured bacterium. RNAcentral describes it as "partial 16S ribosomal RNA". It matches the Rfam family "Bacterial small subunit ribosomal RNA", at positions 524 to 776 of the family's 1533-position model. The record is from RNAcentral.